UACGUAGGGGGCAAGCGUUGUCCGGAUUUAUUGGGCGUAAAGCGCGUGUAGGCGGCCAGGUAGGUCCGCUGUGAAAACUCGAGGCUCAACCUCGAGACGUCGGCGGAAACCCUCUGGCUAGAGUCCGGAAGAGGAGAGUGGAAUUCCUGGUGUAGCGGUGAAAUGCGCAGAUAUCAGGAAGAACACCCGUGGCGAAGGCGGCUCUCUGGGACGGUACUGACGCUGAGACGCGAAAGCGUGGGGAGCGAACAGG
This 253-nucleotide ribosomal RNA is filed under the name uncultured Gaiellales bacterium. RNAcentral's name for it is "partial 16S ribosomal RNA". It matches the Rfam family "Bacterial small subunit ribosomal RNA", at positions 524 to 776 of the family's 1533-position model. Lineage: Bacteria; Bacillati; Actinomycetota; Thermoleophilia; Gaiellales. The record is from RNAcentral.